Molecule: ribosomal RNA, 245 nt
Filed under: uncultured Bacillota bacterium
Lineage: Bacteria; Bacillati; Bacillota
Description: uncultured Firmicutes bacterium partial 16S ribosomal RNA
Rfam family: Bacterial small subunit ribosomal RNA
Source: RNAcentral
UACGUAGGGGGCGAGCGUUAUCCGGAUUUAUUGGGCGUAAAGUGUGCGUAGGCGGUUUAUUAAGUCUAAGAUUAAAGCCCGAGGCUUAACCUCGGUUCGUUUUAGAAACUGGUAGACUUGAGUGUGGUAGAGGCAAGUGGAAUUUCUAGUGUAGCGGUUAAAUGCGUAGAUAUUAGAAGGAACACCAGUGGCGAAGGCGGCUUGCUGGGCCAUUACUGACGCUGAGGCACGAAAGCGUGGGGAGC